This 253-nucleotide ribosomal RNA is filed under the name uncultured bacterium. RNAcentral describes it as "partial 16S ribosomal RNA". It matches the Rfam family "Bacterial small subunit ribosomal RNA", at positions 524 to 776 of the family's 1533-position model. The record is from RNAcentral.
UACGUAGGGUGAAAGCGUUGUCCGGAAUUAUUGGGCGUAAAGAGCUCGUAGGCGGUCUGUCGCGUCUGCUGUGAAAACUCGGGGCUUAACCCCGGGCCUGCAGUGGGUACGGGCAGACUAGAGUGCGGUAGGGGAGACUGGAAUUCCUGGUGUAGCGGUGAAAUGCGCAGAUAUCAGGAGGAACACCGGUGGCGAAGGCGGGUCUCUGGGCCGUAACUGACGCUGAGGAGCGAAAGCGUGGGGAGCGAACAGG